RNAcentral lists this long non-coding RNA (444 nucleotides) under Rattus norvegicus (Norway rat). Its description in RNAcentral is "long non-coding RNA NONRATT019622". The record is from RNAcentral. Lineage: Eukaryota; Metazoa; Chordata; Mammalia; Rodentia; Muridae.
AAAGGAAAAACCAGUGGGACAGAACCUGCAGAUUUUGCCUUACCCAGUUCCCGAGGAGGCCCAGGAAAACUGAGGUGCAGACAGGUUUUCCAGAGAGAACCCAGCAGGGGCAGGGCUGCUGAUGUUUUAAUAUCACAUGAAGAAAUACUGGGGAAUGCCCUGCCUCGAGCUGGAGAAAUCAGUGCCUCUUCCUCCAUUGUGGGCAAAGAAGUCCCUUAGGGGAUGUUGGGAAUGCUGGGUACAUUCUCCUGCCAUGCCUAUAUUCUGCAACAUAUCCGUAUUUUGGUUGGGAGUACACAUUUGCAAUAGGCUCCCACUGUGUUCUAUGUCUUGGUUUUUGGUCUCCUCUGUGGGUAUCCAGAGCCUGAAGUAGAAUAGAAGGUCGGGCAGAAAUGGGUGUAGCAUCUCAAAUAGCAACAGCAAAGCUAUGUCAGGAGGGAGUAG